RNAcentral lists this ribosomal RNA (339 nucleotides) under Triticum aestivum (bread wheat). RNAcentral's name for it is "partial small subunit ribosomal RNA". Lineage: Eukaryota; Viridiplantae; Streptophyta; Magnoliopsida; Poales; Poaceae. The record is from RNAcentral.
AUGAGGGAGAACAAGACACGCAGAACCUUGAAAAAGUUGGCCACUUGCACCAUCUGUGGAAUGGAAGACGAGACUGAAUUUCAUACUGUCAUUGCUUGCACCAAAGCCAAAGCUUUAAGGUCCGAAAUUCGGAAAAUUUGGCAGCUUCCAGCAGAGAGAAUGUUCGGAUACACGGGUGAUGAUUGGCUUUUGUGUCUAUUGGACACAUGCGACGAGGUCACGCGGGCUAGAAUCCUAUUGCUUAUUUGGAGAGCGUGGCAUUUACGUAAUGACUGUGUACAUGAGGGAGGGAAAGCUUCGGUCUCUGUCUCGGUCGAUUACCUGAAGAAAUACGAAUAG